RNAcentral lists this long non-coding RNA (11576 nucleotides) under Capsicum annuum. Its description in RNAcentral is "long non-coding RNA (CANN_LNC015129)". The record is from RNAcentral. Lineage: Eukaryota; Viridiplantae; Streptophyta; Magnoliopsida; Solanales; Solanaceae.
UUUAGUUUGUGUUGCUGCUUUAAAAUUUGUUUGGAUUGAGAUUUGCAAUAUCGAGCUGAUGGUGAUCAUUUUGAGGCUUUUGGUUGAGGAUUUCGGACUUUGGUUUUCAUCGAUUCAUUAUUAUCAGUGAAAAUCUGCUCUCUUGAGGUCCAAUUCUACUCCUUUCAUCUUUUAUUUCAUUAUUGGUGAUGUUUGAUGUGUUGGAUUGAAUAUCUUAAUUGCUUGUGUGUGAUGUGAAUGUUGAAUAUUGAUUUUACAGUAAUUGUGGAUUGUUGAAAAUAGUGGUGUGAAUUAUUAUGUUUGAUCUUGGUUUAAAAUUAAAUUGGGGUAGGAUUGAGAUUUGAAAAUUGAUAAAAUAAAAAAAAGCAAGCUUUAAUUUAUUUUUGAAUCAUUGCUGACGUUGAAUGUGAUAAUGCCAUGAUAGAUAGAGCUCAUGUAGGAAAACAUAGGUUGGGUACGCAAACUUAGGAAUGGUGAUUUGUGAAUGUGUAAUGUGAUUGGUUCGUUCUACUUUAUCACACACAUAGUUGAAAUUGUACUCAUUUGGCCAGGGAAUGCCCCGAGUAUUUGUAUUGAUUUAACCAGGGAAUACCUCGAAGUAUCAUGUACGCAAAAGAGGUCCGUGAUCAAGGCCUGAGGAAUCGGGUAAAGCAUUGGAGCGUAGUUUAGGACUAGCUUAGAAUAGGAUUUAUAUUUUUUUCGCAUUUUUCUAUUUUGGACUGUAUAAUUGGACUAGACAUUAUUAUUUUAGUUUUGGACUGUUGUUUGAUGUGUUUGUUGCUUGUUUUAUGUGUUUGAUAUGGUUUAUAUAAUUUUUAGUGUCAAAUUAGCUGAUAUGCUUCACCAAGCUACCGUGGUUGAACCACGGGAUAGAGGGGUGCCUAACACCUUCCCCUCGGUCAACAGAAUUCUUUAACCGAAAUCUCUGUUCGCGAAUUAUUUUAAAAGAGUCAAAAACAGUUUUGAUAAAGGAUUUCCAAAGGUGACUUGACACACCCAAUUAUGCCAAGUGGCGACUCUGAGUUUUGAUUGUUAAAAGUCCUUUUCGAAACAAAUUUCAUCUUUCGUCACCUCAAUAAUAAAAACCCUUUUCAAAUUUAAAAUUUAUCUUUUUGGGUAAAAAAAAGGGUGUGACAGCUCUGGCGACUCUGCUGGGGAUUUUUUUAGAAUUUGAGCUUAUUUUUGGAGUUGUAUUGGCUUAGUUUUACAUUAUGGGUAUAUAGACAUUGUUUGUAUUAUCGUUCUUAUUUGUUUUAUACUUGUUGAGUUCCUACGUGCUACGUGUUUACAGUCUUUCUUCUUAUGUGUUACCGUUUUAUAUCUAGCAUCAUAUGCAUAACCCGAGUCAUUUUUUCUACAACAAGUCCGUAGUACACGUAUUGUACACGACCUUUAGUUGAGUCACUCUUAUUUUAGGAGGGGGAGCCGUCGGUGUUAUGGAGUGGGUGGAAAGCUCUCGCAGCCACUAUCGACCAUACACUCCCCCGAACAGCCUUGUUAGUGAACCCCAGCGUAGGUCAGCCUUUAGGUCAUGCUUAUCCGCAUCAUAUUGAUACCUAGCGGAACCCAUGUGGCCCUUUGUAGGAGACUCACCUCUAAUGCAUCCCUACGUGCUAAAUGUUACAUCUCUGAGGGUAAUGUGGUCAUUUAACAGAUUGGUUUGGGGAAAAACAUGUGUUAGAAGUAAAGUGCGUAGGCAAUAAAAAAUCAAAAAAAAAGAAGAAAAAGUGAAUCGAAAAGAAAAAAAAGAGUUUCGUAGUUUUUAGAGUUCUUUAUGGCUUUUGAUUUUUCUUCAUAAUCCAAAAAAUCAAAAAGAGUUUUACAUUUUGCACUCAUUUUCUAAAAACAUCAAAAGGAUUUUCCUUUUUUCCCUUUAUCAUGCAUUCAUAAUUCAAAAAUUUUAAAAAGACUUUUUUCCAAAUAGGAGCUUUUUAUAAAAGGAAAAUUCAAAAAAGAUGGUAGAAGUUUUGUACAUUUCAUAUAAUGAAAAUGCCAAAAAGAUUUGUUCUUUCGAAGUUGUUGGUGUCAGUUUUAUGUGAAGUGUCAAAUUUAAAACUCAAAUAAGAUUUUAUUGAGGUUUUUCCUCAUCUGUUUGUGGUUGUAUCUCUUAAGUCAGGGUACAUUUGGUUAUUAAAUCUUUAAUUGUCCAAUCUAGAUGAGCUACGCACCCCUGAUUCUCCUCUUUCGGGAGUGAGAUACGUAGGCAGCCUAUUGUUGGUUCGGGGAUCUUAUUUAAAAAACUUAAAAAGAUUUUCUUCACUCUUUAUUAGAGUAGGUGUCAUAUAUAUCUCUAAAAGAAAAUCACAAAAAAGAUUUUCCUUUAAUAGUUUAAGUUUUAUUUUCGUAUGAAAUUCAAAAUUGAAAACCCCAAAAGAUUUUUUUUUUUGGUAAUCAUAGGUUUCAUUUUGUAUAGAAAUUUGAAAUAUGCAAAAAGAUUUUCUUCACUCUUUAUUAGAGUAGGUGUGUCAUAUACAUCUUUAAAAGAAAACUACAAAAAGAUUUUUCUUUAAUAGUUUCAAGUUUAAUUUUCGUAUGAAAUUCAGAAUUGAAAAUUCAAAAAGACUUUUCUUUGGUAAUUAUAGGUUCUAUUUUGUGUAGGGAUUUAAACAUGAAAAAUGCAAAAAGAUUUUUGCUAAUUCUUUUGACAAUUUGUUAUUUUCUUUUCUUUUUAAAGUUUCAACUAAAAAUAAAAGAAUGAAAAAAGAGUUUAAUUGGCCAUUUUUGGCAAAAUUUCACGAACUACGCACACCUGAUUCUUCUCUCUCGGGAGUUAGAUACGUAGGCGCCCUUCUAGGUUUCGGUGAUCUUUUUCAAAGAAAAGAAAAAAUCAGAAAAGAUUUUGAGAAGGUGUUAAACUCUAACACGUUUGUUAUCUCUUAUUCAGUUAGUUUAAGGUGGUUGGUUUGUGGUAUUUUGGAGUCCUCCACAUCACACCAAAUCUAAGGAAAGGUUAAUUGUGUCCAACAAGGAUAUAGAGAGUGACAUCAUAGAUCAAACAAAGAGUCAGGAAAAUGAGAGUUUAAAGUAAGAGAUUAGGAGAUUAAGACAACAAAUGGAUUAAAUGCACCGAGCUUGGUCCAGUGGACUGCCUCCUCCUCUAUUCCCCGCUAUUGAUCCUACAAAUACCUCAAGUUUUUCAUUAAAAUUGCAAAGUCAGUUUCCUAUGGUUGUUGAUGCACUGCAACAUGACUCAGAAUUCAUUUCAAGCCAAAAGCAUCCCAAUAAUUCCCCCACUUUUUCUCUAGCUCCUCAGUAUAAGCCUAUUGCAUUCAUAAUACCACAUGUCGUCAGUGAUUUUGUUGCUCAAUCCUCUGCUGAGACAUCCACAUUAGCUAGUAUACCCACGUUCGAUACUCUUGAUGAUCAUUGCUAUAUUCUUGAGCCUACAGUUAAGUUAAGUGGACCGCCAAAAUUUCUUACCAAGAAGCCUUGCAUGCCAGAAAAUCCAGAGAAAAUAGUGGGGAAAGUGAAGAGUGUAGAAAAUAAUAUGAAAAGUUCCUCGGGACUUGUGGGAUGUGAAGAUAUUUCAUAUAAAAUUAGGGCAUGUUUUCAAGUGUUAACCUUCCUCCAAGAUUGAACACGUCAAAAUUUGGGGAGCCUGAUAGACAGAAGGAUUCUGUGAAACAUUUAGGAUGAUAUUGUAAUCAAUCAAGGAAAACUGAAGAAAAGGAGAUGGAAAAUGCACCUAUUGUCAUACCAGGGCCAAAACAGAGUUUAAGAGGUCCAAUCCACCAAUACUGUCAGCCUCAAUCCCGAUCUUACAUAUUAGAUCCACAUAACCACUUGCAACAAGGUUCCUUUCUCUAAAAUCCAAGAAAUCUCAUUUCACUUUCUCAACAUCCUUUGAAUAAUGCACAGUCGUAUGCUCAUCCACUCCUUAUCCACAAUGGCGUACCCCGAUCCCUCAAUGUCAUCCUCAACCCCCACAAGUUUACCGAGAAACCUCUAAAUCCAAGUUUCAUGCAAGGCCAGAGUUUGGAAUAAGGAGAAAGGCAAAGGAUAAUUUCACGCCAAUUGGGGGGGUCCUAUGCCAAUUUGUUCCAAACAUUGAGACAAUGAGGCAUGAUUGCUCUUAUCCCUGGGUAUACUCCCAAUCCACAGUCAAAAAAUUUUGAUCCUACUGCACGAUGUGUUUAUCAUUCUAAUAUUCAAGGUCACAGUACUAAAGAUUGUUGUAUUUUGAAAAGAAAAAUAGAGAAGAUGAUUUAAGAAAAAUUGAUUGUGGUGCAAAACAUUGGCCCCUCAACCGUCCCGUAGAGUUCUUCACCAGCACGUAGUACUGCACAAUAUAUGGGAGGAAGUAAGUUAAGCAUGGGGAUCUAGAACUUAUUCGUUGAAGGGAAUAUGUCUGACAGUGGUGGAAGCUCUAGUCAUGCUGAUAUGCAAAAUAGUGACUAAUAUGUCAGGCUGAGUAAUUGAGAAGUCACCCCUCUCCCUACUAGGAAGAGGUCUGGUAGUUUGGUUUGUUUUAUUUUUUGUUAUCCGAAUUAUCAGGGUUGUAGUUUGGAAUCUAUCUUAGUGUAUCCCUUUGUCGUUAUGUUCAAACCCUUCUAUCUUUUAUUUUAAUUAAAUGGAGUGUCCCUUUUUCCUUUAUGUUUUAAAUUUGUGUUGUUUGUUUGUUUUCUUUACAUAGAACAUUUUAUGUUGAUUCUAGUGAUAUGACAUGCUAGGAAAAUUUUUAGCCAGAUCUUAAAAUCCAAUUUAACCAUGAAACAUUGAAUCAGAGGGCCAAAGUUAGAAAAAUAUCUGAGAUAAUAGGUAGAGUGCUGAGAUAUUUGGUGACAAGUUGAAGCCUUCUUUGAAAAUUAAGGCAAUUAUUUUGAGAAUCACAAGAAUAACUUGGUCAUCAAUUGAAAGACAUGUCUCAAUUAGGUCAUAUAGUGGCUGCGUGAACAGAAAGAAAAUCGAUCCUACAAAAUAAUGAGUCAUUCAAUGUGAGGAAUGUACAACAAAAGUGGAGUUAUAUACUGAACAAGUGCAAAAGAAGUAGUAAUGCAUAGGCUUAGUUAAGUUAGUGCUGUAAAUGAUUUUACAAAUGAUCUUCAUCAUUCACUUUCAUAUUGCAUGAUAUGUACUUCCAUUUUCAAGGAUUGAUAUGAUGAAGACAUUUCAUUCUGCUAUCUGAACAUUGUGUCAUUCUUUGUUUACCCUAUUUGAGCCUUAAUUUUAUUUUCUUUCAUACUCUUCUUUUGGAAUCAAGAUAGAGCCAACAGAACUCAAAAGAAAGGUGUCGAGCAGACAAAUAGAGUCAGAAAAAUAUCAAAAAAUAAAAAAAGAAAAAAUUAUGUCAAAAGAAAGAAAAGAAAAGAGUGUCAAGAAAAUAGAGUCAGAGAAAGUUUCAAAGAGAAAAAGAGUCAACAAACCAAAAAAAGAAACCAGAAUCAAGCAAAAAAAUAAGCUGUCGAAACUAUGCGUGGCCUAUUCUCCUCUUUCGGGGGUGAGAUACUGUAAUGCCCCAAUUUUCUGAAUCAAAAUGCUACACGGUGCUCAUGACCCCGAAGGACCACAAGCUAACCCAUGACUAAUAUCUGUACCUAUAAAUUGCGUAAUAUCUCAUAAAAUAUGCAGAAACAUGAACUGUAAGGCCAUAAGGUUCAAUACUGAUACAUAUCUGAAAAACAUGGUAUAACAAUACCAAAAAGUAACAUAAAUACUGAAGUCUGAACAUCUAAUCUGACAUCUAGUCCGAAAUCCUCUAACUGAUGCUAAGAUACUGAAUGAUUGAGUUUACAUAUAUUGAGAUAUUGAAUGACUGAGUUUACUAAUAUUGAUAUGUAAUUUACUAAUAAGUGAGGAACUAAUACUGUAUUACUGAAUACUGGGAGACUGAUACUAUAUUACUGAUAAAGGAAUGAUUAUUUCUGAUAGUUCUGAUUAUGAAAAACUAAUUUGAUUGACCGUAUAUAACAGUCCUGAAAUUGAGCUCGUGAUAACAUGACUACUGAGUAUGAAUACUGAUGACAUGUAUUUACUGAUAACAUAUCGUGAAUGAUAACUGAAUUUUGAUAACUGAUAUAUCUGACAACAUGAGUUUUGAUAACUGAUAGCAUGAAUGACUAUAUCUGACAGUCCUAAAUCUGAUGGAACUAGCUGAGUUUUGUACUGUAUCUGAGUUGACUGUAUCUGACAGUCCUGAUAUCCUGAAGAACUAUCUGAGUUCUUUUACUGAGAUUGAUACUAAAACUAUGGGAAGUAGUUAUCUAACUGACAUGCCCCAAAUACGCUAUAAUAGCUAAGCUGGGGUCCAAUCUCUGCCCUGAUUGAAAGGGUGUCUAUACCACGCCACUGGUAAGGACAAGCUGUGAGUGACCCUCAUCUGGCAGGUACUCUAAUGAGAAAGAUGGGAACCCUCAUCUGACAAGUUAAGCCACCUCAUCUACCCUCAAAUGACAGGUAUUGAUGUCUCAACCUAUGCUGGCUACAUAGUUCUAGAACGCAAGGACUGCUUCUAAGAAUCACACCCUCUACUGGCAGGUGAGUUCCCAUCGUUGGGUUCGCUCGGUGUCGAAUCCUACUCCCAAUUGAAUGACACUGAACUGAUUAUACUGAAUUAAUUUUCUAGUUCAUACUAGAAUUAACUGAACUGACUGAUUGUUCUGUUUAACUGAACUGAACAUGGAUUGAGUUUAUUGAGUUUGAUGACUAGUGGAACACUACUGAAUUCUGUACACUGACUAAAUGCUACUGAGUUCUGUUAGCUGACUGAAGUCUACUGAACAUGGCUUGACUGAGAGUAUCGUGAAAACAUGAUAUGGAUCUAGCCACACAACUAUAUUUUUUGGGCACGAAUACCCCCAAGACUCGAUGGAAAGAAACUGACAUAACAUACAAGAGUACUUUACCAACAUCAACAAUCCAUAAUACAGCAUCUACGGGGAAUUCAUAAAUCAUGUGGUUUUCAUAACCUUUUCAUAUAGCUGACAUCAUGGUCAAUUCUAAUAUCAUGACAAGCCAACAACAUAUUUAUAGCACAUUAAUAGCAUAGAAAUCAUCUUGAUCGAGUAGACAUGGCAUAACUUAAGAGACAUGGCAAAAUCUUGGAGCAUGNNNNNNNNNNNNNNNNNNNNNNNNNNNNNNNNNNNNNNNNNNNNNNNNNNNNNNNNNNNNNNNNNNNNNNNNNNNNNNNNNNNNNNNNNNNNNNNNNNNNUUUAGCAUGGGAGUCAACUUAAGCACAUGGAUAUGGCAUGGAAUCAUCAUUUAGAUCACAAAUAGGUAAAAGUGCUCAAUUUUUCUUCACUUAGGCAUUUUAACAAACACCUUCCAUGCACUAUUUAGGGCAUAGGCCUAAUGAUCAAUUUUAUACACCAUAACACCAUAAUUCAACUCAAUUCCACCAAUUGAAUCCACAAAAUAUCAUUGUAUCAUGAACAACAUGUAAAGAUUCAAACUUUAUUCACACAACAUGGAAUUCACGUGAAAUCAUAAAACAUGGAGUAAGGACUUGUUAAUUGAGCACUCUUAAAUCAUGAAAACAUGAUUAUGCCUAUUCUAGGCAUUUCGUCGAACACCUUGCAUGCACACUUUAUAGAAUAGGUGUUCUUAAUAAUUUAGUCAUCUCAAACCACCUAAUUUCAUGAGUUUUAACUACAAGCACACAUACUUCAAGAGAAUCACCCUAAAUUAACAUCUUGAAGUAUAAACAACAAUCAUCAACAUGUACAUGAUCAUAUCUCAACAAGACAAUCACAAUAUAGUAUUUAAAGCAUGGUUCUUGGACUCCUACGGAUGAAAGGAAUCCAUGGAUGAACACUACGCAUACCUUAGGUGGAAGAUUCUUGAAGAAAUUCUUAGAUAUGUUCUUGAUUCCUUGACUAGGAUUCUUGUUCCUUUGAGAGAAAAUAAAUUGGCUCUUGAGUUUGAAAAACUUGAAUAUCAUAUAUUCUUGAAAAAGGAUUUGAUUCUUGUUAUAGGUUAUGAUCUUGAGAGAAAUCCUUCUUUUGAUGUUGAAGAUAAAUGAGGAGUUAUGUUCUUCAAUUGAUGGGAUUUGGGUUUUCAAAUUGAAACCCUAGCUUGAGUUCUUGAGAGAAUUUUGAGAAAAGGAGUAUAUUUUGCUGCAAAUAAUCCUUAAUCCUGUGUUUGGGGUAUAUAUAGGGAUGGAAGAUGACCAAAAUACCCCUAAGGAACAAUUAAGGUCAAAUCUGUCCCUAAUUGACUGUCUGAUAGUGCUGAAGUAAAUUGAUCAUAACUUUUUAUUUAGAUGUCCAAAUGGGAUUAAAAUAAUUUCAUUAGAAAGAAGACUCAAAUAUCUUUCCAUUUAUAUAUAGAAGAUCUCAAAGUUCAUUAUAUAUUGGGAGUUAUGAUCGUUUGAAAUUGACCCUGAAAUACUAAAAAGACUGGGCAAGAACUGGAGUUAGCAGGCUGCGCGAGCUAAUCACCCGAGGCUUCUAUUUUGGGUACCCAAACAUGCCUUUACGCUACUCCAAAAAGUUUUAAAUGCACCCGGGAUAUACUACAUGUUUUCCCGAUCGUAACUCAACUUGAAAAUUGAAAGUUUGGAGGUCUAAAAUAAGACUAAGUGUUGAAUCUUGAACACUUAGCAAAAUUUUUUAAGUCUUGAGAUCUUUCAUGGAGCUUUACGAGCUGAAUUUGACAUGCGAUUUUAUGGGGUAUUACAGAUACGUAGGCUGCCCUACUCUGGGCUCGGUCCAACCAAAUAAACAGUUUAGAAUUUCUCAGUCAAAAGAAACUGGGGCAUGAGUUAAUCCUUAUUGUUUGAGUCGAUUCCAAAAGUUGUAAGUCCUACCCCAUUUUAAGUGUCGUUUGGGCCUCAUGCUAUCCUUUCUUUCUAACCCUAUCCAAAAUUCAAGUUACAACCAAAGAAAGACAUUCAGAUCAAUAUUUGAGAACGUUAAGGCUAAGCAUGCAAUGGAUAUGAUAAUGCAUUUUGGGAACUGCUAGUCUUUCUCAGCAUAGGGAAUCAAGAAAGAAAUAAAAAUGAGAGAGUCUUAUUGGUGAAAACCCUCUCGGGCACUGUAAGACAACAAUGAGUUAAGAGAAAUGAAAAUAAGAGAGUCUCAUUGAUGAAAAACCCUCACGGACACCGUAAGAAGAUGAUGAGCUAAGAGAAAAAUGAGAGAGGCUUGUUAGAGAAAGCCCUUCAAGGUGUCAUUAGCCGAAUGAGGUCUUAAAUGCAAUUGACCUAAGGAAAUAACUUAGUUUCAUGGCCAUUAACUCAAGAAUAAUUGGUAGAAAGUUUGAAUGGAAAGAUAAGACAACUUAAUCUAAAAUGCAUGGCAUAAUCAUUAGAGUUGACUGUCAUUUUUAGAUAAAUUUUUUGUUUCUUUAUUUCAAAUAGGGACAUUCAUUGUCUUUUCUUUCUUCUCUUUACUUCUAUUUUAUUUUUCUUGAGUCAGUUAUCCAAAUAAAAAUUAUUGUCAUUUAUUCUCUUGUCUUUGAGUCAAGUCCAUGUCAAAACAAGUGAGAAAAGAUUUCAAAACUGACUACCAGCUUCUCCAAUUGCAUAAAGCAAGACAAAAGCCAAUACAUAAAAGAGACAUGAUUGUGAGCCCAAAUAAGGCCAACAGACAGUUUUGUCAACAGACAAAUCUGGGAACUUAUGGAAAUACCAAGGUUCAAAGGGUUUAUCUGAGAAGCAUGGUAAAGCAGAAAUACUGUAUUUAUUUUAGAGUCACACUUAAUAAUCAGAGUUCGGAUCAAUGAUGCAGCGAUUCAAUGAUAUAUGCUAAUGGUUGAAAGCAAGAUUAAAUGUGACAGGGGCAAGAGCGAUUGUUGCGAAAGCUAAAGCCACAAACCAGCCAGCGUGUUUUUAAACUCACAAGUUUUCUUUGAUGAAAUAGGAAAUAUGUUACCUUCAAAUCAAGGACUUCAGAGUCUAAAUAUCAAAGGUUGUAAUGCCUCACUUCCACAAAUGCAGGAGACAAUGUUGCUGCACAGGUUUGGUAAUCAAACCAUGGUAAAAACUCAUCAUCCAAUGUCUCUAGGAGACACACUUCCUUGUCCAGAUGAUUCAAGUCCAUUUAUUAGGUGAUGCACUUCCUAAAUUGAACCUUCACUCCUUGAAGUCGCACUUUCUAGUUGAGUCCUUCCACUUAACCCCUAGGAGAUACACCUCCUUAUCUGAGUAAUCCAGGUUUCAUUUAUUAGAUGAUGCACUUCCAAAAUUGAAGCUUCACUCCUAGAAGUCGCACUUUCUAGUUGAGUCCUUCCACUUAGCCCUUAGGAAAUGCACCUCCUUAUUUGAGUAAUCCAGGUUUCAUUUAUUAGGUGAUGCACUUCCUAAAUUGAACCUUCACUCCUAAAAGUCACAUGUUCUAGACGAGUUAUUCUACUUGACCCUUAGGAGACAUACUUCUUUGUUUGAAUAAUUUAAGAGACAUUUUUAAGGAGACACACUUCUUUGUUUGGGGAAAUUCAAACAACAUUUAUAAGGAGACAACCUCCUUGUUUGGGGAAUUCAAAAGACAUUUGUGAGGAAACGCACUUCCUUGUUUGGGUAAUUCAAAUGACAUUUGUGAGGAGACACAUUUUCUUGUUUGGGUAAUUCAAGCAGCAUUUGUGAGGAGACGUACUUCCUUGUUUAGGAAAUUCAAGCAGUAUUUGUGAGGAGAUGUACUUUUUUGUUUGGGCUAUUCAAGGACAUUUGUGAGGAGACACACUUCCUUAUCUGGAUAAUUCAAGCAACAUUUAUAAGGAGACGCACUUCCUUAUCUUGGUAAUUCAAGUGGUAUUGGAAAGGAGAUGAACUUUCUUGUUUUGAUAAUUCAAUCAACAUUGGUAAGGAGAUGCACUUCCUUGAUUGGGUAAUUCGAAUUUUGCUUUUUAGGUGAUGCACUUCCUAACUUAACUCUUGAUUCUAAGUAGAUGUGCUUCCUAGUUGAGUCAGUCCCCUUGAUUUCUAUUAGAUGUACUUCCUGGUUGAGUCAGUCCCCUUGAUUCCUAGUAGAUAUACUUCCUAGUUGAGUCAGUCCCCUUGAUUCCUAGUAGAUGUACUUCCUAGUUGAGUCAGUCCCCUUGAUUCCUAGUAGAUGUACUUCCUAGUUGAGUCAGUUCCCUUGAUUCCUAGUAGAUGUACUUCCUGAUUGAAUCAGUCCCCUUGAUUCCUAGUAGAUGUACUUCCUGGUUGAGUCAGUCCUCUUGAUUCCUAGUAGAUGUCCUUCCUAGUCGAGUUAGUCCCCUUGAUUUCUAGAAAAUGCACUUUCUAGUCGAGUCAUUGCACUUAAUCCUUAGGAGACACACUUUCUUGCUAGUUUUCAUUUGUCAGGUGACAUACUUUUUAACUUAAACUUGUACCUUUAGAAGACGCACUUCCUAGUCUUGAUCAUUCAAUUUUAUUCUCAAGAGAUGCAUUUCUUAGUCAGAGUCCAGAUUCAUCAUUGUAACAUACAAGUAGGUAUGAUGUGACUUUCCCAAAAGUCUUUUGAUGAUAAACUGGGGCAAAAAAAUUUAAUUUCUAUUUUUGGAACUUUACUCUGCUGGCAAAUGGAAUUUCUCUUUUAAAUAAUUUUUUUUUGAAAUAAUUUUCUUUCUAAUUUCGAUGUGAUUUCAGGAGCCCACCUGAAGAACAGGCCGAAUAAAUGGAAAGUCAAACAACAAGGUGAAGAAUUUGAAAGUCAAGA